This 346-nucleotide unclassified non-coding RNA is filed under the name soil metagenome. RNAcentral describes it as "partial contains 5.8S ribosomal RNA, internal transcribed spacer 2, and large subunit ribosomal RNA". The stretch from base 1 to 119 matches the Rfam family "5.8S ribosomal RNA", at positions 35 to 154 of the family's 154-position model. The record is from RNAcentral.
GAUGAAGAACGCAGCGAAAUGCGAUACGUAAUGUGAAUUGCAAAUUCAGUGAAUCAUCGAGUCUUUGAACGCACAUUGCGCCCCCUGGUAUUCCGGGGGGCAUGCCUGUCCGAGCGUCAUUGCUGCCCUCAAGCACGGCUUGUGUGUUGGGCCCCGUCCUCCGAUCCCGGGGGACGGGCCCGAAAGGCAGCGGCGGCACCGCGUCCGGUCCUCGAGCGUAUGGGGCUUUGUCACCCGCUCUGUAGGCCCGGCCGGCGCUUGCCGAUCAACCCAAAUUUUUUAUCCAGGUUGACCUCGGAUCAGGUAGGGAUACCCGCUGAACUUAAGCAUAUCAAUAAGCGGAGGA